Molecule: ribosomal RNA, 1152 nt
Filed under: metagenome
Description: SSU rRNA
Rfam family: Eukaryotic small subunit ribosomal RNA
Source: RNAcentral
UAAAGCUCUGACCUUACGGAACGAGCGCAUUUAUUAGAACAAAACCAAUCGGGUUUCGGCCCGUUCGUUGGUGACUCUGAAUAACUCUGCCGAUCGCACGGUCUCGCACCGGCGACGUAUCUUUCAAGUGUCUGCCUUAUCAACUUUCGAUGGUAGUUUAUGUGCCUACCAUGGUUGUAACGGGUAACGGAGAAUAAGGGUUCGACUCCGGAGAGGGAGCCUGAGAAACGGCUACCACAUCCAAGGAAGGCAGCAGGCGCGCAAAUUACCCACUCUCGGCACGAGGAGGUAGUGACGAAAAAUAACGAGACGGAUCUCUUUGAGGCCCGUUAUCGGAAUGAGAACAAUUCAAAUCCUUUAACGAGGAUCUAGCGGAGGGCAAGUCUGGUGCCAGCAGCCGCGGUAAUUCCAGCUCCGCAGGUGUAUAUCUAUGCUGCUGCGGUUAAAAAGCUCGUAGUUGGAUCUGCGUGCUCGGAACUGGUUGGCUCACUGAGUUCAAACUGGUCUCCGGCGCUUUAUUGGCUGGUUUUCCCUUGAUGCUCUUAACCGGGUGUCUUGGGUGGCUAGCACGUUUACUUUGAAAAAAUUGGAGUGCUCAAUACAGGCGUAAAGCCUUGAAUAGUGGUGCAUGGAAUAAUAGAAUAGGACCUCGGCUCUAUUUUGUUGGUUUUCGGAACGCGAGGUAAUGAUUAAGAGGGACAGACGGGGGCAUUCGUAUUGCGACGUUAGAGGUGAAAUUCUUGGAUCGUCGCAAGACGGACGACUGCGAAAGCAUUUGCCAAGAAUGUUUUCAUUAAUCAAGAACGAAAGUUAGAGGUUCGAAGGCGAUCAGAUACCGCCCUAGUUCUAACCGUAAACGAUGCCAACUAGCGAUUCGCAGGCGUUAAACAACGACCUUGCGGGCAGCUUCCCGGAAACGAAAGUGUUCGGGUUCCGGGGGAAGUAUGGUUGCAAAGCUGAAACUUAAAGGAAUUGACGGAAGGGCACCACCAGGAGUGGAGCCUGCGGCUUAAUUUGACCCAACACGGGAAAACUCACCCGGCCCGGACACCGUAAGGAUUGACAGAUUGAGAGCUCUUUCUUGAUUCGGUGGGUGGUGGUGCAUGGCCGUUCUUAGUUGGUGGAGCGAUUUGUCUGGUUUAUUCCGAUAAC